This 399-nucleotide unclassified non-coding RNA is filed under the name Pileanthus filifolius. RNAcentral's name for it is "partial external transcribed spacer". Lineage: Eukaryota; Viridiplantae; Streptophyta; Magnoliopsida; Myrtales; Myrtaceae. The record is from RNAcentral.
CCGAACUGCUUUCCCCACGUUCGAUCAGUCCUUGCUCCACGAGCUAACGUUGGAUGCAAAAUGUUGGGUUCCUGUGCUGCGUACCUAUCGAGAUGGAAAUUCGUCCCUUUCGGUUGUCCCUUUCAUCAGUGCAUCCUCUUGGAUGCUCGGUUGAACUAAGAUAGAAGGGCUCGAUCUCCACGGACGCCCCAUGCGAUCGUCCCGAUGGAGCUCGAGCGCCUUCUUGUCCUCUCGGAUGCGGAAUUUGCCUUACGGGCGUGGGGUCAAAGGCCCUUGGACCCGAAUGUUGAAGCGUAAGUCGCUCAACAAUGGAAUGACGCUCUUGCCUUGUCCUUGAUCACGUGGAGCCCUCGGGCUUACCACAAAGGAUCAUGCUCGGCGGACGUCGUGAAGGAAUGC